Molecule: ribosomal RNA, 253 nt
Filed under: uncultured bacterium
Lineage: Bacteria
Description: partial 16S ribosomal RNA
Rfam family: Bacterial small subunit ribosomal RNA
Source: RNAcentral
UACAGAGGGUGCGAGCGUUAAUCGGAAUUACUGGGCGUAAAGUGUGCGCAGGCGGCCGAGCAAGUCGAGUGUGAAAGCCCCGGGCUUAACUUGGGAAUUGCGCUCGAAACUACUUGGCUGGAGUGUGGCAGAGGAAGGUGGAAUUCCAGGUGUAGCGGUGAAAUGCGUAGAGAUCUGGAGGAACACCGAUGGCGAAGGCAGCCUUCUGGGCCAACACUGACGCUCAUGCACGAAAGCGUGGGGAGCGAACAGG